This is a long non-coding RNA of Equus caballus (horse), 2656 nucleotides long. Lineage: Eukaryota; Metazoa; Chordata; Mammalia; Perissodactyla; Equidae. The record is from Ensembl.
GAUGAUCCUCCCUGAGAAGGUGAAAUGAGAGAAAGACUUAAAGGAGGUGAGGGAGUUUGCUAAGUGGAUAUCCAAGAAGAAUAUCCCAGGUAGAGGGAACAGAAAGAGCAAAGGCUUUCAGGUGUAAGUGAUAAUGGGGAGAUGGAAGGUAAAGGGCCUUGGUGAGGAUUCUGGGAAAUGUUGGAGGGAUGUGAGUAGAGGAAAGCCAUGAUCUGGCUUUUUCCUAGGAAACCCUCAUCCCAGCUGCUGUGUUGAGAGCAGACCUCAGAGGAGCAAGUGAGAAGCCCUCUCAGCAGGUCAUUGCAACAAACCAGCUAUCCAGUUCAUAGUCGUGAGUGCCUCUGGUUGUGCUGUGUGGGAUGCCACCUCAGCACGGCUUGAUGAGUGGUGCCAUGUUGCACCCAGGAUCCGAACUGGCGAAACCCUGGGCCGCUGAAACGGAGUGCGUGAACUUAACCACUCGUCCAGGGGGCCGGCCCCAGAGAUACCUGUGAAGUUUCACUUGUUCAAGGGACCUGAAGAGUAGAUGGAUGCACACUGGGAACACACACUUGAUACAUGAGAAACCAGGGACUGACUGCCAACUCUUGGAAGAGAUGUUGGAAUAACCUGUGGAUGAAGCAUGCAUUGCUUGCUGUGGUUGGGGAGAUCACGACAUUGCCAGUUCUAGUAACAUCACAGAGAGGGAAGCAGUGUGUCAAAGCAGCGCAGCCCUGUCUUCAAACUGGAAGGAAGCCCAAUGUACAAAAUCCACACACCUGGGCUCUUUGGCUCAAGUAAGAGCAGCAGGAGCCCCUCACGUCCCAGAGCCGCUCAAGAAGCCCCCAGGAGCACGGUGCGAAGACCCCUCCUUUGGGCCAAGGUCUAGGGGCUUAAGGUCAUGUUAGCAUUUUUGUGCCUAGUGGUGGAGGGAAGAUUCAAGGGUGAUGAUAAAGCAUGGAGAUCUUCUGGAAGACUGGUUAGGGCCUGAGUUAGAGAAAUGAAGCUUGGGGUGAAAAGGAGAUGAAUGAACUGAGGAGUAUUUCAGGUUGAAAAUCAGUGAUAUUUGUUGAUUGAAUGCUGUGCGUGAGGGAGUAGGGUGGCUUGUGGGAACCAUGACAGGAGCUAACAUUUAUUGAGAUGGCACAUAUGCUCUACACUUUACAUUAUCACAGUGACUCCAGGAGGUGUGUACUCUUUCACCCCCAUUUUAAAGAUGAGAAAACUGAGCCGUGGAGUUCCGUAAAUAGUUGAGCUGGAUUCCAACCCAGGCAGUCACGCUCCAGCGCCUGCACUCAACUAUCUCUCGUAAUGUUGGUGACUGACCCUCGGAUAGAUAGUGGUCAGUGGUCAGCAGCAUUUGAAAGUCCAGAAGUGUCAUUGCUCUGCUGCUAAUCUGCUUGUGGCUUUGGACAAAGCAGUAACCUUGUAGUUUCUCAUCUAUAAAAUGGGGACAAUAAUCACCUAUGCUACUGAACUCAUGUGGUUUGAGAAGUUAUAAAGGACUUUUAUUAUUGCCCAAAUUCAAAGUCUAUCCUGCAGAUAAAUUCUACAUUUUUCAUAUAUUACUGCAAUAAAUUCAGGAAGCUAUCUGAAAAUUUCAGUUCAUUUGAAAUAUUUUAAGGUACCUUCCCCUAGCUUUUUAACUGGCUUGCUGAAAUUGUGUUAUCCAAGUAAUGACAUCUGAUUAAGCAAGCUUGACAUAUUGAGAGAUGAUUAUGGGGAACAAUUAUCAAUGUUAAUUACCUUUGCUAUAGGAUACAACAUAAAGCCCAGAUUCAUUCAUUAGUUUUCAUUAUUUAUCUGUUUGUUUGCUAUUCAUUUAUUUAACAAAUAUUCCUUGAGCGUCUACGAGGUGCCAAGCAUCAUAGUAAGUGCUAGUGAUGCCCUGGUGAUGAGAGUGGCCGAUGGCUGCCCUAUGGCCCUCCAUCAAGAAGAGAAUACAAGCACCUUCAAUCACCUCCUGUCUGCUCUUCGACUCCCAGCUCACUGGCUUUGGUUAAGCCUCUCAGGUUGUGCUCAGGGCCAUCACAGGGCUUUCGGGCCUGCUGUUCCCUCUGCCGUGAAUGCUAUCUUGGGCCCUGUGUCCGGGGCCCCCAAGACCACCCUUGGGGACUUGCUAGAAGAAGUCACAGAACUCACAAAAGCUGUUCUGCCCAUGAUUAUUGUUUAUGGCAGUGGAAAGAAACAGACUAAAAUCAGAAAAGGGGAAAGGUUCACAGGGCAGAGUCCAGGAGAAAGCAGGCACAGGUUUCCAGGGGUCCUUCCCGGUGGAGUUGUGUGAACGCUCUUCAUCCUCCCAGCAGCAAUGUGUGAAACAUGAGGGAAGUGAUGCCAACCAGGGAAAUUCAGCCCAGCGAGUGUCGAGGGUUCUGAAUUGAGGGUCGGUAUGUAGGCUUGCAGCACCUGUGUGGCCAACCUCAGCUACUCAGACUCCAGCCUCCUAGAGCGAAAACUUGGUGUUCACCAUAAAUCUCACUGUUAGCAUAAACUAUCUGACCAGACUGGUCCCAUGUGGCCCAAGGCCUCAGGCAUACAGAAACACUGUUGUAAGGCAGAAUAUUCCAAGGGCGCAGAGCUCAUCUUCCAGGGCCAGUUCUGAAGAUAGGACUUUCUUGAGAAUGAGCAGGGUUUGAACAACCCAGGUCUGCUGACUUAACCCUUUCCUGCCCAGACC